UGGCAUUGAUUUUCCCUUUAAUUUAUUGCCAAUGGCAAUGGACAUUGAUGCCGAAAGAAAUAAAUUAUAUUUUCAAAUGGACGGAAUGCAAGCGUUUCAAUCCAAAAUUCGGUUAUAAAGUGUCGUGUCCUUACAAAUUCGUCAAUCGUUCGCAACAAGAAACAAAGCUUGAGGUCUACAUUCAUCCUGGACUAGCAGUGGACAAAGUUUUUAUGGAAGUAUCAACUCAAAAAAAAAUUGGAACGGUCUGGCGACCGACUCUGGUUAAAAUAAAAGAGAAUUUAUGCGACGCAUACGGAAAUAAAUCGCACACUCCCAUGGCUCAAGCAAUGCGUACGAUAUUCAAAAAUUCCUAUACAAAUCUGUUGGAACCGUGUCCGUGGACGGGAUUAAGAUAUCGAUACGGAAAAAUCAAUCCAACGUUAGACUUCCCACCAUUGGUGCCGAUUGGGGAAUGGAAAGUGAUUGUGAAUCUGACAACAACAAUGAAUCAAAUGGAAGAGUUUCUUCUGGAAUUGAUCGACGUUUAUGAAGUUACCCAGAAGUCGGCAACGCAAUUUUGAAACA
Long non-coding RNA from Bradysia coprophila, 567 nucleotides. The record is from RefSeq and is a predicted model, not a curated record. NCBI's taxonomy places the organism in Eukaryota, Metazoa, Arthropoda, Insecta, Diptera, Sciaridae.